This 197-nucleotide ribosomal RNA is filed under the name uncultured bacterium. Its description in RNAcentral is "partial 16S ribosomal RNA". It matches the Rfam family "Bacterial small subunit ribosomal RNA", at positions 328 to 539 of the family's 1533-position model. The record is from RNAcentral.
ACGCUCGACACCUACGGAGGCAGCAGUGGGGAAUAUUGCACAAUGGGGGAAACCCUGAUGCAGCGACGCCGCGUGAGCGAAGAAGUAUCUCGGUAUGUAAAGCUCUAUCAGCAGGGAAGAAAAUGACGGUACCUGACUAAGAAGCCCCGGCUAACUACGUGCCAGCAGCCGUGGUAAUCUGAGCGGGCUGGCAAGGC